This 253-nucleotide ribosomal RNA is filed under the name uncultured bacterium. RNAcentral describes it as "partial 16S ribosomal RNA". It matches the Rfam family "Bacterial small subunit ribosomal RNA", at positions 524 to 776 of the family's 1533-position model. The record is from RNAcentral.
UACGGGGGGGGCAAGCGUUGUUCGGAAUUACUGGGCGUAAAGGGCUCGUAGGCGGCCAACUAAGUCAGACGUGAAAUCCCUCAGCUUAACUGGGGAACUGCGUCUGAUACUGGAUGGCUUGAGUUUGGGAGAGGGAUGCGGAAUUCCAGGUGUAGCGGUGAAAUGCGUAGAUAUCUGGAGGAACACCGGUGGCGAAGGCGGCAUCCUGGACCAACACUGACGCUGAGGAGCGAAAGCCAGGGGAGCAAACAGG